UAAACAAUAGCAUCAAUGCAUUUUGAUUUCGACUCAAGAAGAGGAGUAUUCCAUUGUUUAA
Molecule: transfer RNA, 61 nt
Filed under: Erpobdella octoculata
Lineage: Eukaryota; Metazoa; Annelida; Clitellata; Hirudinida; Erpobdellidae
Description: tRNA-Arg
Source: RNAcentral